This 495-nucleotide ribosomal RNA is filed under the name Fusarium solani. RNAcentral's name for it is "eukaryotic LSU rRNA". The stretch from base 122 to 275 matches the Rfam family "5.8S ribosomal RNA". Lineage: Eukaryota; Fungi; Ascomycota; Sordariomycetes; Hypocreales; Nectriaceae. The record is from RNAcentral.
ACAUACCUAAACGUUGCUUCGGCGGGAACAGACGGCCCCGUGAAACGGGCCGCCCCCGCCAGAGGACCCCUAACUCUGUUUCUAUAAUGUUUCUUCUGAGUAAAACAAGCAAAUAAAUUAAAACUUUCAACAACGGAUCUCUUGGCUCUGGCAUCGAUGAAGAACGCAGCGAAAUGCGAUAAGUAAUGUGAAUUGCAGAAUUCAGUGAAUCAUCGAAUCUUUGAACGCACAUUGCGCCCGCCAGUAUUCUGGCGGGCAUGCCUGUUCGAGCGUCAUUACAACCCUCAGGCCCCCGGGCCUGGCGUUGGGGAUCGGCGGAGCCCCCCGUGGGCACACGCCGUCCCCCAAAUACAGUGGCGGUCCCGCCGCAGCUUCCAUCGCGUAGUAGCUAACACCUCGCGACUGGAGAGCGGCGCGGCCACGCCGUAAAACACCCAACUCUUCUGAAGUUGACCUCGAAUCAGGUAGGAAUACCCGCUGAACUUAAGCAUAUCA